AAUUUUAAAGGUAAGGCAGAAUAAUGUGUAGGAUUUAAGCUCCUAUUAUGGGUGUUCCCCCUUAAAAGG
This 69-nucleotide transfer RNA is filed under the name Idotea baltica. RNAcentral describes it as "tRNA-Leu". The record is from RNAcentral. Lineage: Eukaryota; Metazoa; Arthropoda; Malacostraca; Isopoda; Idoteidae.